ACCCAACGAACCCGAUAAGUCUAUCUGUUCUCCUCCAUUUCUGGUCCAUUUGCUCUCUCCUCAAUUACCGUAAUACCAGAAAGAAACGUCUCUCUCUCUCUCUCUCUCUCUCUCAGAAGAACUUAAAGAAUUUGCAGCGCCUUUCUCGUAUGCUUCUUCGUUAUCUGUAGAACAGAAAAAAGAACGCUUAAAGUAUGGCUUCCUCCGUCCAGCAGCUUCUUCCGGCCACCCCAACUUCUGUUGUUCCGCCCAAGUCCACCCACCAUACUACAUUGUUUGGCCUUGGAUCAUGCUCUACAAUGGGCAAGCUCAAGCAAUAUCACUCCCAGAUCAUCCGGUUUGGCCUCUUGCAUGAAAAUGAUGCCAUGGGCCGAGUAAUCAAGUUUUGUGCCAUCUCCAAAUCCGGAGAUUUAAGAUAUGCCCUCAGAGCGUUUCAUAUGAUGCCCCACCCAGAUGCAUUCAUUUACAAUGUUAUUAUUAGAGGUCACUUGCAACACCAGUUAACUAGAGAUUGCAUUUUAUUUUAUUUGCAGAUGUUACGAGAAUCUGUUACACCCAAUAGAUUUACUUUCCCUUCUGUUAUAAGAGCUUGUUGCGUUGACUACGCUGUUGAAGAAGGUAAAAAAGUCCACGCGCAUGUUUUGAAAUUCGGGUUUGGAUCAGAUGGGGUUAUCCAGAACAAUUUGAUUCAUAUGUAUAUGAAUUUUCAGUCUUUGGAGGACGCAAGACAGGUCUUUGAUUGGAUGCCUCAUCGAGAUAUUGUCUCCUGGACCACUUUGAUCAGCGGAUAUUCUCAUUGGGGAUGUGUUGAUGAAGCUUUUGAAGUUUUUGAGUUGAUGCCCGAGAGGAAUUCAGUUUCUUGGAAUACCAUGAUAGCAGCUAAUGUCAGAAGUAACCGUUUUCAAGAGGCGUUUGCUCUGUUUGAUAGGAUGCGGUCCGAGAAGGUGGUACUGGAUAAGUACGUGGCAGCUAGUAUGUUAUCAGCUUGUACUGGGUUGGGAGCUGUGAAACAAGGGGAGUGGAUACAUGGGUAUAUCGACAAGAAUGGCAUCAAAUUGGACUCAAAACUUGCUACAGCUAUUAUUGAUAUGUACUGCAAAUGUGGUUACAUAGAUAAGGCGUUUGAAGUCUUCAACGGGUUAGCCCACAAAGGAAUGUCCUCAUGGAAUUCCAUGAUUGGAGGGCUGGCGUUGCAUGGGAAAGGAAUGGCCGCCAUUGAGCUUCUGAAAGAAAUGGAGAGACAGGCAAUGGUAGCCCCUGACUUUAUCACUUUUGUGAAUGUGCUUAGUGCAUGUGCUCAUUCAGGGUUAGUGGAAGAAGGGCGCCAUUACUUUCGUUACAUGACUGAAGUUCACGGCAUUGAGCCCGGAUCUGAGCAUUUUGGAUGCAUGGUAGAUAUACUCGGAAGAGCUGGACUGCUGGAGGAAGCCAGAGACCUUAUCAAUAAAAUGCCCAUGAUUCCUGAUGCAAGUGUUUUGGGUGCUCUCCUUGGAGCUUGCAGAAUCCACGGGGAAAUAGAGUUGAGAGAGCAAAUAGGGCAAAAUGUUAUUGAACUAGAGCCUCAUAAUAGUGGCCGCUAUGUGCUAUUAGCCAACAUAUACGCCGAUGCAGGUAGAUGGGAAGAUGUUGCUACCGUGAGGAAGCUGAUGAACGACAGGGGAGUGAAGAAAGCUCCUGGCUUUUCCAGGAUUGAAUUGGAAGGUGUCGUUAAUGAGUUCAUUGCAGGAGGAAGGGCUCAUCCUCAAGCUCAAGAGAUAUAUGCGAAACUGGAUGAGGUGUUGGAAAACGUUAGAAAGGUUGGCUACGUGUCCACUACAGAUGGGGUUGUGCAUGAUAUUGAGGAGGAGGAGGAGGAGGAGGAAAGGGAGAAGCUAUUGUACUACCACAGUGAGAAACUUGCUAUUGCCCUUGGGUUGUUGAAGACUAAACAUGGAGAAACUCUUCAUAUCACAAAAAACUUGCGGGUCUGUAAAGACUGUCACACGGUGAGCAAGCUCAUCUCAAAGAUAUAUGAUCGAGAAAUAAUUGUAAGGGAUAGGAGUCGGUUCCACCAUUUUAGAGGGGGAGACUGCUCUUGUAAUGAUUACUGGUAAUGUUUGGUGGGACUAAUGAGGUCGGGAAUAAUACAUGGUUGUUAUCAGAUCUGGUUUUGUGGAUAUGGCUUCUAAGUCUAUUAUUGGAAAAUUAGCCGAGAAUUUCUCCUGUGGAUGGCAGUUAUCUACUGUCGGGUUCAUAUGCAUCUACGAUCCAGAGGGAGAUGCCUCAAGAUCCUUCAAAUUCCCAUGAGUGACCCAAGAGUGAAGUUACUGAUAAGAUGGUAGAGAAGCACGCUGAAUCCCUCACCAAGAUCAUUGUCUUGGACAUUGGCCACUUUUUGGAAAUCACAUCCAAAGGCCUUCAAUCCUUUGCCAAGCGAUACAAAUCCCUAUCUCACUUGAAAAGGAAGAUGUCCCCUAAAUGGGAGAGGCCUGCAACAGGUUCAGCUUCAUUAGGGUGGAUGAAGAACAAUGACUAGGCUCCACCAACUCAAAUGCUGUUUUGGCUAAUUUGGUGACCAUGGGCUCCAGGCUCUCGGUUGAAUCUUUCCAAAUCAGUUGUGUAGCUUACCCAUAUAGGUUUUGUAUUCUUUGGCAGACCAGAAGUAAAGUCGAAUUCUUCAUCUUUUUGGGGUGGUUUUACCCCAAAACUUCUUCCUCUUUUUUGUGUUCAAAAUCAUAGGCAUGACAAAUCUCAAUUUGAAUGAAUGUAUCUCCUCGCAUUUAUAGU
Molecule: RNA transcript, 2766 nt
Organism: Rhododendron vialii
Lineage: Eukaryota; Viridiplantae; Streptophyta; Magnoliopsida; Ericales; Ericaceae
Gene name: pentatricopeptide repeat-containing protein At5g66520-like
Exons: 3
Source: RefSeq, a predicted model, not a curated record